GUAGUCUGCCAUACGCAGGAAGACCCGCUGAACUGAAGCAUCUCAUUAAGCGGAGGAAAAGAAACUAACUAGGAUUCUCUUAGUAAAGGCGAUCGAAAAGGGAACAGCCCAACGUCUUAAUCCCGCAAGGGAAAUGUAGUCCGGUUCACCUAUUGCACUGGUCUAGUCAGAUGAAUGCUUGCGCGAUUCAAAGGUACAAGCCUCGUAUGACCACCUGCAAGCUUACGAUGGACCCGGGAGAGUCG
This 245-nucleotide non-coding RNA is filed under the name Trichomonas vaginalis G3. RNAcentral's name for it is "Eukaryotic large subunit ribosomal RNA". It matches the Rfam family "Eukaryotic large subunit ribosomal RNA", at positions 1 to 267 of the family's 3401-position model. Lineage: Eukaryota; Parabasalia; Trichomonadida; Trichomonadidae. The record is from Rfam by way of RNAcentral.